Brassica napus (rape) is the source of this 2094-nucleotide long non-coding RNA. RefSeq lists it as uncharacterized. The transcript has 7 exons. The record is from RefSeq and is a predicted model, not a curated record. Lineage: Eukaryota; Viridiplantae; Streptophyta; Magnoliopsida; Brassicales; Brassicaceae.
AAAAUCUUAUAUUUUAAUAUAUAUAUAGAUAUACAUAUAUAUACAUACAUAUGGAUAUACGUUUCCAAUACGUACCCGCUUCCUAAUUUUUCAAAAAAUCUCGCUUCUGCGCUUCUAUAAGCUUCGCUUCCGCGCUUCCAUACGCUUCGCUUCCGCGUACCCGCUUCCGUUUCCAUGUAACAUAGCGCAAGACUCGUUUUACCAUCAUAGUCCAAGGGAGAUAAGCAUCAAAACGACAGUGUCAAAUAAGAAGAAUAUACAGGAGCCAAAAGCGGUAAAAAAAAAAAGAAAAAUAAUUGUUAUUCAAAAUCUGACUGUCGUGAUAUUAGGGCAACAUUAUCGGUGGUGGAGAGGGUCCUUACGCGUGGACCCCACCACCUUUUAUCAAUUAUUGUGUCUAAUGUCCCAAAAUAAGAAACGUUUGCACUGUGUCCUUAGCACUGUUUGCAGGCCCCACGACAUGUGGCGGCCCGCGAUUAGUUUAAUUUUUUUUUUUUUUUUUUUUAAACCGAAAAAAAAAAAAAAUUUAAGGACCAAAAAACGUUUUGACCGAUAAUGUUGCCCUUAGUAUAUAUACUCGUCCCUUGUCCCUUUUUUUUAAUUCAGAUUACAAAUACAUUCCCUCUGUAAAGAAGGAACCAAGAAAGUUCCACCACCACUCACUCUCUUUUUUAGCUAGCUCUUUGAUUCGAUCUGAUAAUAUAUCAUGGAAGGAACAACUGCGAUGGUUGACCAGAUGUACGAGUUCUUGGCUCCUGCGAUGGUUCGAUGGAAGACGUACAACUGCUGCUCCGUUGAUCUCACAGCAGUUCCAAGGGACAAAACAAAACGCCUAAGCAGAUAGAAAACAAGGACUGAAACUGUUUCCUCCUCCUAACACAGAAGCAGCAACCUGCUAGAAAGGUAGCAAGCUAGCUAACCCUUCUAAGGAAUCCAUCUGCACAGAGGCCGAAAAACCAGUCACAUUCGUCUCAACCGAAAGGAACUAAUCAGAAAAUUGUGAAAAAGGGAAACGAGUCCCAAGAACAUAGCUCUGGGCACUACCACUCUGAUGAUGGAUAAUCAAGCCAGAUUCUAAAUCCAAAAGCAACAACUCUGCUCCACACGACAAGACAAGACAAGGUCUCGUUAACACCGGUUUCAAACUCCGCAGGAGAACAGAAAAGGUUUCUCAACCUUACACCUUUCAUGUCAACUGCUGAACUGAAUAACUGAUGAAAAAGUUCCAAACAAGACUUGUCACUGCCUCAUGCCAACCACUUGUCCUCCACAGGUGCAGGUGAUAAAUUUUCAAUACCUUGAUUAAAAAAACACACAAGCUUACCAUCUUUGAUUAUCCAUUCAAUUCCAAGAAACUUUUGAUCUACCACAUUUCUCUACAUCUUCCCGUCUUUACUCCAACCCUCACUUAUGGUAGUGUUUUGCCACCGAAACGACCCCACUCAUUAUAUAUUGUUCCUAGAACAAACCUUAAGACCCAAAUCUCUGAUAAAUUCCUAAAUCAAACCGUCGCCGCUUCCAACCAACCCUUGAAAAUGUCAGCCUCUAAUGAUAUUGUUGCUCAAUCGGCAGUUGUCCCCGCAACCUUUUGACAAGCUCCGCCUAGGUCGUACUAGCCAGUUCGGUUGCCUCCUCAGCUUCUAGGAUUCUCGGAAAAUCAAGAAGAACCGUGAAUUUACGGGAAUCACCCUCCUCUUCCUCUAUGUAAAGAGUGGCAGCAGCAACCAAGCUGCAAUUUUGGAUGUGGAAUUUGGACUAGCAACAUAAUCUGCCUACUACACGGGUAUCACUUGGAGUUGCUGAAGCAAGUCAGCUAGGUUAUGCGGGGGACGAGAAAACCCACAAACGUCCCAAUUAGUGAAAUUGUCGAGGCCAUCCAAUCGUCAACCCACUAAGCUUUCGUCUCAUUUUUUUUUUGGGUCAAAGCUUUUGUCUCAUUUUUAUAUUACUGUUUCCUACUACGUACCUCCGUUCCUGAAAGUAAGAUGUUUUAGAUUUUUUUUUGUUCCACAAAGAUAGAUUUUCUAUAUUGUUAAGGUACUUUUUUAUACUUUUGAGGAACAUUAAUUGAGAAUAUUUGAAUUGAUUAAAUUU